UAGGGAAUCUUCCACAAUGGACGCAAGUCUGAUGGAGCAACGCCGCGUGAGUGAAGAAGAUCUUCGGAUCGUAAAAACUCUGUUGUUAGAGAAGAACACGAGUGAGAGUAACUGUUCAUUCGAUGACGGUAUCUAACCAGCAAGUCACGGCUAACUACGUGCCUG
Molecule: ribosomal RNA, 165 nt
Filed under: uncultured bacterium
Lineage: Bacteria
Description: partial 16S rRNA
Rfam family: Bacterial small subunit ribosomal RNA
Source: RNAcentral